Molecule: small RNA, 614 nt
Filed under: Pan troglodytes (chimpanzee)
Lineage: Eukaryota; Metazoa; Chordata; Mammalia; Primates; Hominidae
Description: retained intron
Source: RNAcentral
UCCCGCCAUGUCUCCUCUGCUUCCCUUUUCAGGGUGUCCUGGUGGAUUGGUUUCUGACCUAGAAGAAUCCCUUAGGAUGAAGCUGAGUCUUACCAAGGUAGUUAAUGGCUGUCGCCUAGGAAAAAUAAAAAACCUGGGCAAAACAGGGGACCACACCAUGGAUAUUCCAGGCUGCCUUCUGUAUACCAAGACUGGCUCCGCCCCACACCUCACCCAUCACACGCUGCAUAAUAUCCACAGGGUUCCUGCCAUGGCUCAGCUUACGCUGUCAUCCCUAGCAGAACAUCAUGAAGUCUUGACAGAAUAUAAAGAAGGAGUUGGAAAGUUUAUAGGUAAAAAUUAAGUUACUUAUAUGUGCCUUGUGAUGUGUUAAUUUGGAGUUUGGAGGUGCUGUUACCUCUUUGAUCUUUCAUUCAUAUGUUUAUUUAUUCGUAAAUUUAAUAAGUAUUAUUUGAACAUCUAAGAGCCAGGCAUUGGCAAGUCAAGAUUGAAUAGGAAACAGUUGCUGCUCUCAUGGAAUUUGGAGCCUAGCUGGGAUAAAGAUAGAGAAUUCUAGUAAAAAUUGUGGUUACUGCUUUACAGGAUUAGGGAUAUGUAUGGAUAUCAUGACAGGC